GCCUCCUUGUUUAAUUAACUUCACAGUAUGAAAAGAAUAGGGCCCUUAACCACACUCUGAGAAACCCUAUAUUUAAGGAUGGACAGAGAAAGAGGAGAGAGACCACAAAGAAUACUCAAAAGAAGAGAGAGAGUGACAUCACAGAAGCUACAGGAGGAGAAUGUUUCCAGGGAGAGAGAUGCUGCUGAAGAAUCAAAAAUGUCUCAUGAGCACAAGACAGAAAGAAUAUUCAAAAGAAACUUCAAGAAUCUUAGCUUCUGAAGGACAUAUUUUUAGUGCAUAUACUGACUCUCACAUUUACCGAACCCCAGCUGCAGCAUUUGUCUCAGAGAACUGCUCUGCUCCUCCCAUUUAUCCCAUUAUUACUUUCAGUUGUGAGAUGAAAAUGUUCUCUUUGAAAUAAAUUGGCUCCUCUAAAUAAAGAAAUGUCCAAAUAGCUACUUCAGUCUCUUAUUUAAUCUCAAGUUAAAUCAAAGAAAAGAUUUCAGCAUAUAGAAACUCAUUCAAACCUGAAGUGACCUUGGUGUUUUUCUCAAUACAUCAAUCAUUGUUAUCACAUUUCUUAGUUUUCUUUUUUUUCAAUUUCUUUUUUUUUUAAAGAUUUUAUUUUUUUCCUUUUUCUCCCCAAAGCCCCCCAGUACGUAGUUGUACAUCCUCCAUUGUGGGUCCUUCUAGUUGUGGC
This 682-nucleotide long non-coding RNA is filed under the name Equus asinus (donkey). RNAcentral describes it as "lncRNA (ENSEASG00005026853.1)". Lineage: Eukaryota; Metazoa; Chordata; Mammalia; Perissodactyla; Equidae. The record is from RNAcentral.